GCCGAAGUGGCGGAAUGGUAGACGCGCAUGGUUUAGGACCAUGUACCAGCAAUGGUGUGGGGGUUCAAGUCCUCUCUUCGGCA
Molecule: transfer RNA, 83 nt
Filed under: Candidatus Levybacteria bacterium RIFCSPHIGHO2_01_FULL_40_10
Lineage: Bacteria; Candidatus Levyibacteriota
Description: tRNA-Leu
Rfam family: tRNA
About the family: Transfer RNA (tRNA) molecules are approximately 80 nucleotides in length. Their secondary structure includes four short double-helical elements and three loops (D, anti-codon, and T loops). Further hydrogen bonds mediate the characteristic L-shaped molecular structure. tRNAs have two regions of fundamental functional importance: the anti-codon, which is responsible for specific mRNA codon recognition, and the 3' end, to which the tRNAs corresponding amino acid is attached (by aminoacyl-tRNA synthetases). tRNAs cope with the degeneracy of the genetic code in two manners: having more than one tRNA (with a specific anti-codon) for a particular amino acid; and 'wobble' base-pairing, i.e. permitting non-standard base-pairing at the 3rd anti-codon position.
Source: RNAcentral